UCGAAACCUGCAAAGCAGACCCGUGAACAUGUUCAAAUAUAUUGUGGUCGUGAUUUUGGAUCAUUUGCAUCCCAACAUCAUGGCCUGCCACCCCAAGCGGCGCAAGUCUCUUGGGCGUACUAACCACUCGGCGCGGCAAGCGCCAAGGAAAACGAAACCGAUCGCCUCUUCAUGUGUCGGUGCACUUUAUGCGGUGCCUGAUAUGUGUAGGAGCAUCUAUCAAAAUAGUCUAAACGACUCUCGGCAACGGAUAUCUCGGCUCUCGCAUCGAUGAAGAACGUAGCGAAAUGCGAUACUUGGUGUGAAUUGCAGAAUCCCGUGAACCAUCGAGUCUUUGAACGCAAGUUGCGCCCAAAGCCAUCAGGCUGAGGGCACGUCUGCCUGGGCGUCACGCAUCUCGUCGCCCCCCAAAACAUCGUAUUUCCCCACAUGCUGUUGGGAAAUGACGCAUGUAAUGUGUGGGGUGGAAAUUGGCCUCCCGUUAUCAUUGUGUAGCGGCCGGCCCAAAAAGGAAACCGUGCCGAUGGAUGUGACACGAUACGUGGUGGUUGGAUUCUCAACUUGUGAACUAUCGUGCUCGACUAAUAUCGUGCUACGGUCACGACCCAAUGGCAUAAAAUGCCCUCGACUGU
RNAcentral lists this ribosomal RNA (632 nucleotides) under Paraboea guilinensis. RNAcentral's name for it is "eukaryotic LSU rRNA". The stretch from base 236 to 391 matches the Rfam family "5.8S ribosomal RNA". Lineage: Eukaryota; Viridiplantae; Streptophyta; Magnoliopsida; Lamiales; Gesneriaceae. The record is from RNAcentral.